This 194-nucleotide ribosomal RNA is filed under the name uncultured bacterium. RNAcentral's name for it is "partial 16S ribosomal RNA". It matches the Rfam family "Bacterial small subunit ribosomal RNA", at positions 338 to 524 of the family's 1533-position model. The record is from RNAcentral.
CCUACGGGAGGCAGCAGUAGGGAAUCUUCCACAAUGGACGAAAGUCUGAUGGAGCAACGCCGCGUGAGUGAAGAAGGUUUUCGGAUCGUAAAACUCUGUUGUGAGGGAAGAACAAGUACGAGAGUAACUGCUCGUACCUUGACGGUACCUCAUUAGAAAGCCACGGCUAACUACGUGCCAGCAGCCGCGGUAAU